GAUGAACGCUGGCGGCGUGCCUAAUACAUGCAAGUCGAGCGCAGGAAACUGACGGAACUCUUCGGAGGGAAGGCAGUGGAAUGAGCGGCGGACGGGUGAGUAACACGUAAGGAACCUGCCUCAAGGAUUGGGAUAACUCCGAGAAAUCGGAGCUAAUACCGGAUAGUUCAACGGACCGCAUGGUCCGCUGAUGAAAGGCGCUUCGGCGUCACCUAGAGAUGGCUGUGCGGUGCAUGAGCUAGUUGGUGGGGUAACGGCCCACCAAGGCGACGAUGCAUAGCCGACCUGAGAGGGUGAUCGGCCACACGGGGACUGAGACACGGACCAGACUCCUACGGGAGGCAGCAGUAGGGAAUCUUCCACAAUGGACGAAAGUCUGAUUGAGCAACGCCGCGUGAGUGAUGAAGGUUUUCGGAUCGUAAAGCUCUGUUGUAAGGGAAGAACACGUACGAGAGGAAAUGCUCGUACCUUGACGGUACCUUACGAGAAAGCCACGGCUAACUACGUGCCAGCCGCCGCCGUAA
RNAcentral lists this ribosomal RNA (524 nucleotides) under uncultured bacterium. RNAcentral's name for it is "partial 16S ribosomal RNA". It matches the Rfam family "Bacterial small subunit ribosomal RNA", at positions 28 to 523 of the family's 1533-position model. The record is from RNAcentral.